RNAcentral lists this ribosomal RNA (474 nucleotides) under uncultured bacterium. RNAcentral's name for it is "SSU rRNA". It matches the Rfam family "Bacterial small subunit ribosomal RNA", at positions 27 to 518 of the family's 1533-position model. The record is from RNAcentral.
GGGAUAAACGCUGGCGGCGUGCCUAACACAUGCAAGUCGAACGCGCUUUCGGGCUUCGGUGCGAGAGCGAGUGGCGGACGGGUGAGUAACACAUGGGUACCUACCUUGGAGUGAGGGAUACCGGCGAGAAAUCGCCGACAAGACCGCAUAGGCUCGAUGCAAGUCGAGCAAAGCUCUUUCGAGAGAGGGAGCGCCACACGAGGAGCCUGCGCCCGAUUAGCUAGCUGGUGGAGUAACGGUUCACCAGGGCGACGAUCGGUAGCUGGUCUGAGAGGACGAUCAGCCACACUGGGAUUGAGAACGGCCCAGACUCCUACGGGGGGCAGCAGUGAGGAAUUUCGUCAAUGGGGCAACCCUGAACGAGCAACGCCGCGUGCAGGAAGAAGGUUUUCGGAUCGUAAACUGCUUUUCUCGGGGAAGAGAACGGACGGUACCCGAGGAAUCGAGCCCGGCUAACUACGUGCCAGCAGCCGC